UGGGGAAUUUUGUGCAAUGGGGGAAACCCUGACACAGCGACACCGCGUGAGCGAAGAAGCCCCUUGGGGUGUAAAGCUCUGUCGGCUGGAACGAAAAAAAUGACGGUACCAGCAAAGGAAGCAUCGGCUAACUACGUGCCAGCAGCCGCGGUAAGACGUAGGAUGCGAGCGUUGUCCGGAUUUAUUGGGCGUAAAGAGUUCGUAGGUGGUUUGGUAAGUCUGAUGUUAAAGAUCGGGGCUCAACCCCGGGAGUGCAUUGGAAACUACCAGACUCGAGUGUAGUAGAGGCAAGCGGAAUUCCCAGUGUAGCGGUGAAAUGCGUAGAUAUUGGGAAGAACACCAGUGGCGUAAGCGGCUUGCUGGGCUACAACUGACACUGAGGAACGAAAGCCAGGGUAGCGAAUG
This 405-nucleotide ribosomal RNA is filed under the name uncultured bacterium. RNAcentral's name for it is "partial 16S ribosomal RNA". It matches the Rfam family "Bacterial small subunit ribosomal RNA", at positions 355 to 774 of the family's 1533-position model. The record is from RNAcentral.